RNAcentral lists this transfer RNA (62 nucleotides) under Camelus ferus (Wild Bactrian camel). It matches the Rfam family "tRNA", at positions 6 to 65 of the family's 71-position model. Rfam says of the family: Transfer RNA (tRNA) molecules are approximately 80 nucleotides in length. Their secondary structure includes four short double-helical elements and three loops (D, anti-codon, and T loops). The record is from Rfam by way of RNAcentral. Lineage: Eukaryota; Metazoa; Chordata; Mammalia; Artiodactyla; Camelidae.
UAUAGUUCAAGUGGUAGAGUGUAUGCCUAGCAUGCAUGAGGUCCUGGGUUCAAUCCCCAGUA